GUGGCGUUGAAUGUGUCGAAGGUUCGAUUCCUGGAGUUUCAUUUGGAGAAAUAAAGUUUCAGAUUAAGCUUGGAGUGCCUCAUUCUCUUUACCAGCAGCUGGAUUUGGAGAAUGUUAAGUCCAUCUUCCCAUAGUAAGUUCCACAGUGGAGAUUGUGAAUGUGGAGGUAGUGGAUGGAGGACUGAUUUGCUCAAGCGGCGUUCUAGUUGAAGAAAUGGGUGAUACAAAUGAAGAUUGCUAUAUAGUGUAUGCCGCAGUCUACGGUGGCUAAUGGCUACUAAGUCUCCGAGUUUAACAAUGUCAUUCUCGUUGAUAGGAGAGAAAAAACGAGAACAAUUGCAGUCACUAGCUUUUAGUUGUAUAUCUUUAUUUAAGAACCAAUUUGGUUUGUAGGAAUCAAUACCACAAUUUCAGUUAAAA
Molecule: RNA transcript, 420 nt
Organism: Arabidopsis thaliana (thale cress)
Lineage: Eukaryota; Viridiplantae; Streptophyta; Magnoliopsida; Brassicales; Brassicaceae
Exons: 2
Source: RefSeq